Molecule: ribosomal RNA, 121 nt
Filed under: uncultured bacterium
Lineage: Bacteria
Description: partial 16S ribosomal RNA
Source: RNAcentral
UAGAGUUUGAUCCUGGCUCAGAAGUCGUAACAAGGUAACCGUAGGUCGUAACACGGUAACCAUAGAGUUUGACCAUGGCUCAGGCGGAUGACUACACGAAGUCGUAACAAGGUAGACCUUA